AAGCGGUGCCGAGGAGGCAAUGGAACAGUGCCCCUCUUUACUCCCUAAUUUCCUCCCGUCCCGGUCAAAGCGGUGCCGAGGAGGCAAUGGAACAGUCCAGACUCUCCACGACUCCACUUCUUUCUCUUGGAUUUCCACCGAUCCGGUAAAAAAACAUCUGGGUGACGCGUGCCGAUUUUGCCGCUGCGACAUACGGAGUUGUGGUGGCGGUGACGCCAUCGGUCUGGAGGUGGAACGGUGAGCAGGGAGCACCGACGACAGAGACGCCCACGGCGGCGAGCCGGUGGCCAGCGGCUACACGCAGCGGUGCGUAGCGGUGGGCGAACCGGAGGAUCUCGAUCUUCGCCGGCGCGCCCUCGGCUCCAUGGCUUCUGCUAGCGGCGUCGUUUGGCCGCCGGCGCGACCAUGGCUCCACUACCACAUUCAAACUGUGAAAAGAUCGACGGGGUCCGGGGUUACCACAAGGGCAGCAGACCAUGCCCCUAUCCACUUCCUUGGGGGUUCUAUUCAUGCUCAACAGGGAAAUGAGACUCGAGGUCCUGAGCCCGUUUUGCUGCAGAGAUGGGCAGUUGUGGACUUGCAGAGAGCCGAAUGAUGGAAAGUUGCUGCUGGGGAAGAACGGAGUAGAGUACGGGAUGUGCAUCUCAAUAAACCAAUGUUUCUUGAUUAAUAUGGAGCAUGCCUUAGCAAAUCAUGAAUCAGUUUGGCUUGAUUUGUGUAUGUUAAAUAUGCAGUUGAAAUCUUGGGAAAAUAUCUUCUCUAGAUGACUUGCAAGCCAUACCAUGGAAUCAAGCAUGGACACCAUCUGUAGGUGUUUGCAAAGAAACAUUAAGGAAACUAAGUGUUCGAGGGGUUUGAUUGCAAGGUUACUUCUUAGUUGGGUCACAUCUUAUGAGGUAUUGCUCAUACAGAUACAUGAGCAUCGUCAAUCAUGAGACCACCUGUGGAUUGCCAAUAUCAUCUACCAGAUUGAUCUACAUGUCAUGACAUCCAUUUCGUUGGAGAAUUUUACUGCCAAACAAUAUGCAGCAUCACCUCUAAACAGUGCUUUGUAGGCAAGCAUUCAGUAUGUGAUAGCAUGGCCUUCUCAUAUAUCUUUUCGCAAUUGUGGGAUUUUAGAGAGCCUUUUGCAUAAAGAUAAAACUUAAAUCUAAGGAAUUCAUAUGUGUUCAGGGGUCAGUAAAGGUGCUCUUGAUUUACAUUUUCAGCUCUGUUCAGAACUUAUUUGAUGUUCUUAGUCAUGUGUAGUACUAUUUACAUUUGAAUGCAAGUCAGAAUUGUACUUUUACCAUGGGUUGUUGGUCUCCUUGAUAGUACUCAGUACUGACCAGGAUAACCUUGGGAUUAAGUUUUACAUGGACUUUAUAUGUAGCCGUUGUAUAUGCUGGAAAGCUGCAUUGAACUUAAACUAUCGGAAGACAUAGAAAGCACACUUCUAUUCUUGGUACAUAAUUACCUACCUUUGACUUUCUAAAUGAACAAUGCAGUUUCUGUCCAUCUGAGUUUCCAUUAGUCCAUUAUCUAUAAUUUUCUGGGGAUGGUCUGUUCACC
Lolium perenne is the source of this 1551-nucleotide long non-coding RNA. RefSeq lists it as uncharacterized. NCBI's taxonomy places the organism in Eukaryota, Viridiplantae, Streptophyta, Magnoliopsida, Poales, Poaceae. The record is from RefSeq and is a predicted model, not a curated record.